This 473-nucleotide ribosomal RNA is filed under the name uncultured bacterium. RNAcentral describes it as "bacterial SSU rRNA". It matches the Rfam family "Bacterial small subunit ribosomal RNA", at positions 328 to 793 of the family's 1533-position model. The record is from RNAcentral.
CUCUGUGACUCCUACGGGAGGCAGCAGUGGGAAUAUUGCACAAUGGGCGCAAGCCUGAUGCAGCCAUGCCGCGUGUAUGAAGAAGGCCUUCGGGUUGUAAAGUACUUUCAGCAGUGAGGAAGGCGAGUACGUUAAUAGCGUGCUCGUUUGACGUUAGCUGCAGAAGAAGCACCGGCUAACUCCGUGCCAGCAGCCGCGGUAAUACGGAGGGUGCGAGCGUUAAUCGGAAUUACUGGGCGUAAAGCGCAUGCAGGUGGUUUGUUAAGUCAGAUGUGAAAGCCCCGGGGCUCAACCUCGGAAUUGCAUUUGAAACUGGCAGACUAGAGUACUGUAGAGGGGGUAGAAUUUCAGGUGUAGCGGUGAAAUGCGUAGAGAUCUGAAGGAAUACCGGUGGCGAAGGCGGCCCCCUGGACAGAUACUGACACUCAGAUGCGAAAGCGUGGGGAGCAAACAGGAUUAGAUACCCGUGGUAG